RNAcentral lists this ribosomal RNA (274 nucleotides) under uncultured bacterium. RNAcentral's name for it is "partial 16S ribosomal RNA". It matches the Rfam family "Bacterial small subunit ribosomal RNA", at positions 523 to 796 of the family's 1533-position model. The record is from RNAcentral.
AUACGGAGGGUGCAAGCGUUACUCGGAAUCACAGGGCGUAAAGCGCGCGCAGGCGGCUUGAUAAGUUGGAUGUGAAAGCCUACGGCUCAACCGUAGAACUGCAUCCAAAACUGUCAGGCUAGAGUGUGGGAGAGGAAGAUGGAAUUAGUUGUGUAGGGGUAAAAUCCGUAGAGAUAACUAGGAAUACCAAAAGCGAAGGCAAUCUUCUGGAACACUACUGACGCUGAGGCGCGAAGGCGUGGGGAGCAAACAGGAUUAGAAACCCCAGUAGUCC